Long non-coding RNA from Brienomyrus brachyistius, 1626 nucleotides. RefSeq lists it as uncharacterized. Lineage: Eukaryota; Metazoa; Chordata; Actinopteri; Osteoglossiformes; Mormyridae. The transcript is spliced from 2 exons. The record is from RefSeq and is a predicted model, not a curated record.
UUUGUUGUUAUGUAAUGUUUGCUAUUGAUGUAUAUUAAAGCUGUUAAAGUAUGUUAGCAUGUUAAGGUAUACUUACAUGCAGCUUACGAAUGUUCUACGAAUGCAUUAUGAAGGCGCAUUGAAUGUGUCACGCCCCGCAUACCUUCUUCCUUGUGUUCUUCGUGGUGUGGCGCUAACGAGCCACACCUGUUCCUCGUUUAAACCUACCGCUCGUUUCAGCCGUGGAUGAUCCCAGGUGCCUCUCGUCUGCUCCUCAUCUGUGGUGCAUAUAGUGCCUCCUCGUCCUGAGCUUCCCAGUCCUGUCAUUGUAUUGUUGUAUGUGUCAUCCUGCUGCUUGCCUGAGCCACUCCAUUGGUUGCCCUGGGCCCUGUGUUUCCCCCCUGCUCUCCCAGCCUUGUUUUAACCCCUUGUGGUCUGGUCUCUUUGCCCUUUUAUGUAGCAUUUUGUUGGAUGUAACCCCUUCCAUUUUCCCAUAUGCUUGCCUUUGCCUUCAUCGUUCCUAACACGUGACAGAAUGUCUUCUGAAUGCAUUACGAAGGUGCGCCGAAUGUUCUAUGAAUGCAUUAUGAAGGUGAAAUUAAUGUAAAGUUUUUCAUUUGUUGCAGCCAAUGGGCAAGAACAAUUCAGCAGAAUAUCACACAAGAAAAAUAACUAAAAUAUAGAUUCUUAGCUUGCUUUUGGUUUAAAAAAAUGUCCAUAAAAAUCCUUCAAAGUACCUGCAGGAUUUCAGAUUCCAGCUUCUCUAUGAUAUCCAUAAUUUUCUUUAGUAAAGUGGAUGUAAACGUAAAGUGGCACGAUUUUCACAAAAAAAAAAAAAAAACCUUACCUUGCUAUACCUGCGUGGGACUUUACUUCAAAAAAGGUUUUCCCAUAGUUGUACAAAGGUGUGAAAGUGAAUGAAAAGACAACAUGAUUGUUAUAUUCUCAGUCAUUGAUUGACUAAAAUUAGUCAUGUGUAAAUAUUAUAGGACGAAUGUAAUUUAUUUUUUAAUCCUCUGUCUCCUCUUUGUAUUAAUGAAGGAGAAUACCUUUGACAUCUUCAUGCAGUUUAGACUUUCCGUGACUUAGUCAGUAACAUUGUUACUGGUCCUUAAUUCUCAUUUGCAUUAUUCCUUAGGUUUAAGGUCAAGGGUCAGGACAAAAAUAAUCUUCUUAUCCUGGGGCUUGCUGGGAAUUUACCUGGAUCUCUACAAGCUUCUAGUCCAUAACUGCAUGCAUAGGUGUCCCUGUGUGGGGUAAAAAGAUGCCUGUCUGUCACCUUUGUGACGUGUUCAGAGCUUCUGCAGAAAUGGCCACGGAUUCAGCGCCCAUCAGUUUUAGUGGCAUGGUGUCAUUCCUGAAAAUGUGCUUCUGUUGUGCUGUUGGUAUUUCCUCGUCCUUUUUAAUCCUUUAAUUAAGAUGAUCCUCUGAUGUAGCUUAUUUCUCCAUAUCUUUUUCGGGCAACGGAAGGUCAAAUCCAGCAUGAGAUUAUUCAUUACCCCCAUUGUAAGAUUAUGAAUCGUGUAAAACUACAGUUUGCUAUACUUCUAUGUUUAUUUUAUACUUCAGUCGCUGGGUUUAGAAAAGUUCAUCGUUUAACACUGCUGUGUCAUAAAGUCACUACGAAUAAAUUUGACUUUCUGCAUA